RNAcentral lists this non-coding RNA (21 nucleotides) under Caenorhabditis elegans. The record is from RNAcentral. Lineage: Eukaryota; Metazoa; Nematoda; Chromadorea; Rhabditida; Rhabditidae.
UUGUUUACCCAUCUUACUGUA